Molecule: ribosomal RNA, 460 nt
Filed under: uncultured bacterium
Lineage: Bacteria
Description: partial 16S ribosomal RNA
Rfam family: Bacterial small subunit ribosomal RNA
Source: RNAcentral
CCUACGGGUGGCAGCAGUGAGGAAUAUUGGUCAAUGGGCGGAAGCCUGAACCAGCCAAGUAGCGUGCCGGAUGACGGCCCUACGGGUUGUAAACUGCUUUUAUACGGGAAUAACGCGCCUUCCGUGUAGGGCUUUGCAUGUACCGUAUGAAUAAGGACCGGCUAAUUCAGUGCCAGCAGCCCCGGUACUACGGAAGGUCCGGGCGUUAUCCGGAUUUCUUGGGUUUAAAGGGAGCGUAGGCCGCAUGUCAAGCGUGCUGUGAAAUGUCCGGGCUCAACCCGGGCCUUGCAGCGCGAACUGGCGUGCUUGAGUCCGCGGAAAGCAGGCGGAAUUCGUCGUGUAGCGGUGAAAUGCUUAGAUAUGACGAAGAACCCCGAUUGCGAAGGCAGCUUGCUGCAGCGGAACUGACGCUGAUGCUCGAAAGCGCGGGUAUCGAACAGGAUUAGAUACCCGUGUAGUC